AUACGGAAGGUCCGGGCGUUAUCCGGAUUUAUUGGGUUUAAAGGGAGCGCAGGCGGCAUAUUAAGCGUGACGUGAAAUGCGGCGGCUCAACCGUCGAUGUGCGUCGCGAACUGGUUUGCUUGAGUGCGUGCGAGGAUGGCGGAAUUCGUGGUGUAGCGGUGAAAUGCUUAGAUAUCACGAAGAACUCCGAUUGCGAAGGCAGCUGUCCAGUCCGUAACUGACGCUAAUGCUCGAAGGUGCGGGUAUCGAACAGGAUUAGAUACCCUGGUAGUCCGCACGGUAAACGAUGGAUGCCCGCUGUCGGCGAUAUACAGUCGGUGGCUAAGCGAAAGCGUUAAGCAUCCCACCUGGGGAGUACGCCGGCAACGGUGAAACUCAAAUGAAUUGGCGGGG
This 393-nucleotide ribosomal RNA is filed under the name uncultured bacterium. Its description in RNAcentral is "partial 16S ribosomal RNA". It matches the Rfam family "Bacterial small subunit ribosomal RNA", at positions 523 to 918 of the family's 1533-position model. The record is from RNAcentral.